CACGUAGGGCGCAAGCGUUGUCCGGAAUUAUUGGGCGUAAAGAGCUCGUAGGCGGUCUGUUGCGUCCGCUGUGAAAACCCGGGGCUUAACCCUUGGCUUGCAGUGGAUACGGACAGACUAGAGGUAGGUAGGGGAGAAUGGAAUUCCCGGUGUAGCGGUGAAAUGCGCAGAUAUCAGGAGGAACACCGAUGGCGAAGGCAGGUCUCUGGGCAUUAACUGACGCUGAGGAGCGAAAGCAUGGGGAGCGAACAGG
This 253-nucleotide ribosomal RNA is filed under the name uncultured bacterium. Its description in RNAcentral is "partial 16S ribosomal RNA". It matches the Rfam family "Bacterial small subunit ribosomal RNA", at positions 524 to 776 of the family's 1533-position model. The record is from RNAcentral.